This 556-nucleotide ribosomal RNA is filed under the name Sphingomonas sp. TB33. Its description in RNAcentral is "bacterial SSU rRNA". It matches the Rfam family "Bacterial small subunit ribosomal RNA", at positions 808 to 1367 of the family's 1533-position model. The record is from RNAcentral. Lineage: Bacteria; Pseudomonadati; Pseudomonadota; Alphaproteobacteria; Sphingomonadales; Sphingomonadaceae.
GAUGAUAACUAGCUGUCCGGGCACUUGGUGCUUGGGGGCGCAGCUCACGCAUUAAGUUAUCCGCCUGGGAGUACGGCCGCAAGGUUAAAACUCAAAUGAAUUGACGGGGGCCUGCACAAGCGGGGAGCAUGUGGUUUAAUUGGAAGCAACGCGCAGAACCUUACCAGCGUUUGACAUGGCAGGACGACUUCCAGAGAUGGAUUUCUUCCCUUCGGGGACCUGCACACAGGUGCUGCAUGGCUGUCGUCAGCUCGUGUCGUGAGAUGUUGGGUUAAGUCCCGCAACGAGCGCAACCCUCGCCUUUAGUUACCAUCAUUCAGUUGGGGACUCUAAAGGAACCGCCGGUGAUAAGCCGGAGGAAGGUGGGGAUGACGUCAAGUCCUCAUGGCCCUUACGCGCUGGGCUACACACGUGCUACAAUGGCGGUGACAGUGGGCAGCAAACUCGCGAGAGUGCGCUAAUCUCCAAAAGCCGUCUCAGUUCGGAUUGUUCUCUGCAACUCGAGAGCAUGAAGGCGGAAUCGCUAGUAAUCGCGGAUCAGCAUUCCGCGGUGAAU